GAUGAACGCUGGCGGCGUGCCUAAUACACGCAAGUCGAGCGAACAGACGAGGAGCUUGCUCCUCUGACGUUAGCGGCGGACGGGUGAGUAACACGUGGAUAACCUACCUAUAAGACUGGGAUAACUUCGGGAAACCGGAGCUAAUACCGGAUAAUAUAUUGAACCGCAUGGUUCAAUAGUGAAAGACGGUUUUGCUGUCACUUAUAGAUGGAUCCGCGCCGCAUUAGCUAGUUGGUAAGGUAACGGCUUACCAAGGCAACGAUGCGUAGCCGACCUGAGAGGGUGAUCGGCCACACUGGAACUGAGACACGGUCCAGACUCCUACGGGAGGCAGCAGUAGGGAAUCUUCCGCAAUGGGCGAAAGCUUGACGGAGCAACGCCGCGUGAGUGAUGAAGGUCUUCGGAUCGUAAAACUCUGUUAUUAGGGAAGAACAAAUGUGUAAGUAACUAUGCACGUCUUGACGGUACCUAAUCAGAAAGCCACGGCUAACUACGUG
RNAcentral lists this ribosomal RNA (497 nucleotides) under uncultured bacterium. RNAcentral describes it as "partial 16S ribosomal RNA". It matches the Rfam family "Bacterial small subunit ribosomal RNA", at positions 28 to 507 of the family's 1533-position model. The record is from RNAcentral.